GCCGGUGUAGCUCAACGGUAGAGCCCUGGUUUUGUAAACCAGUUGUUGUAGGUUCGAUUCCUAUCGCCGGCUCCA
RNAcentral lists this transfer RNA (75 nucleotides) under Olsenella sp. oral taxon 807. Its description in RNAcentral is "tRNA-Thr". It matches the Rfam family "tRNA". From Rfam's summary of the family: Transfer RNA (tRNA) molecules are approximately 80 nucleotides in length. Their secondary structure includes four short double-helical elements and three loops (D, anti-codon, and T loops). RNAcentral also lists the same sequence under 2 other names. Lineage: Bacteria; Bacillati; Actinomycetota; Coriobacteriia; Coriobacteriales; Atopobiaceae. The record is from RNAcentral.